UACGUAGGGGGCAAGCGUUGUCCGGAUUUAUUGGGCGUAAAGAGCGUGUAGGCGGCCAGGUAGGUCAGCUGUGAAAACUCGAGGCUCAACCUCGAGAUGUCGGCUGAAACCAUCUGGCUAGAGUCCGGAAGAGGAGAAUGGAAUUCCCGGUGUAGCGGUGAAAUGCGUAGAGAUCGGGAGGAACACCAGUGGCGAAGGCGGCCUUCUGGACCAGUACUGACGCUGAGGCACGAAAGCGUGGGGAGCAAACAGG
This 253-nucleotide ribosomal RNA is filed under the name uncultured bacterium. Its description in RNAcentral is "partial 16S ribosomal RNA". It matches the Rfam family "Bacterial small subunit ribosomal RNA", at positions 524 to 776 of the family's 1533-position model. The record is from RNAcentral.